This 404-nucleotide ribosomal RNA is filed under the name uncultured bacterium. RNAcentral's name for it is "bacterial SSU rRNA". It matches the Rfam family "Bacterial small subunit ribosomal RNA", at positions 355 to 776 of the family's 1533-position model. The record is from RNAcentral.
UGAGGAAUCUUCCACAAUGGGCGAAAGCCUGAUGGAGCGACACCGCGUGAAGGAUGAAGGCCAUUUGGUUGUAAACUUCUUUUCUGUGGGACGAUAAUGACGGUACUACAGGAAUAAGGGACGGCAAACUACGUGCCAGCAGCCGCGGUAAUACGUAGGUCCCGAGCGUUAUCCGGAAUAACUGGGCGUAAAGAGUUCGUAGGCGGAUGCGUAAGUCUCGUGUGAAAUCCGGAAGCUCAACUUCCGGAUCGUGCGGGAAACUGCGCGUCUCGAAUCGGGGAGAGGGAAGCGGAACGGUAGGAGUAGGGGUGCAAUCCGUUGAUACCUACCAGAACACCAAAAGCGAAGGCAGCUUCCUGGAACCGCAUUGACGCUGAGGAACGAAAGCGUGGGGAGCGAAAAGG